AAGACAGGAGUGUUUAUGUUUGGGUUGAGACACAUUGAGGAGCUGAGUGAUUGACAGCAAGGGGAGCAAGGCAUGAGGUUAAUAAUUAUCAAACAUAUGGCAAUGCUGGACUUUAGCUGAUCACCGUGCUUCUGGAAAAUAACGAAAGUUAAGACAUCUGUUCACCAUUUUGUGUGUCCAAGGACCACCUACAUUUUACAUAUGACAAGAACUACCCACCUCCACUCUUCAGGAUAGAACAUGCUGAAGAAAAAAGUUACAACGAGAAAAUAUAUGGGAACAAAAUGCCUACGCAGUGCAGAAGUCUGAAUAACUAAACCACUCAGAGUAGAGGAAAAAAAUUGCCAUUUCAGGACACCUCCUAUAUCUGAGGAAACAUACAUUGGUCUUGCAGUAUUUUUCUCCUCCAAAUAAAACUCAGUAUGAUCACAA
Molecule: long non-coding RNA, 432 nt
Organism: Mandrillus leucophaeus (drill)
Lineage: Eukaryota; Metazoa; Chordata; Mammalia; Primates; Cercopithecidae
Exons: 4
Source: RefSeq, a predicted model, not a curated record